UCCAACUCCUCAAUCCUGAUGCUGCAGGGGACCUGACCACCAAAACUGAUAGGUACAAAUGAAUUUAUCAAAGAUUAAGUGACAACCCUAGGGUUAGGCGAAGUACGGUACCAUCAUGGUGGCCGCAGUUACCUUGUUGAUAAAUCUUGAUGUAACUCAUUAUCUACAUAAGAUAUAUUGAAAACAAUUGUACAACAUAAAAGACGAUAAAGUAGUGAUUUUAUUUUACAAUAAAAUUUAGCCAUACUUGUCGUAGAUUCUUGGCGGCACGUAAAGUUUUUGACCGGUAGAAAAAAACAUCUCACUUCCCGCAGCAGAUAAAUGGCUCUGGUCGCUAUUGUUGUAAAGUUAGUUACAAAUGGUCAGGAAUAGUAUUGCCGUAGAUAACACUAGUAUUGUAUUUGGUAGGUUUUGAGCUGUUCGGUUCCCAACUUUAGCAGAUUUUUCGAUGUUUUUAAAAUUAGGCGAAGUAUGGUUUAGCAGGCGAAGUCAAGGGACUCGACGGUACAAUUUUUGUAUGCCAAAACCUUGACAUUUG
Maniola jurtina (meadow brown) is the source of this 538-nucleotide long non-coding RNA. RefSeq lists it as uncharacterized. The record is from RefSeq and is a predicted model, not a curated record. The transcript is spliced from 4 exons. NCBI's taxonomy places the organism in Eukaryota, Metazoa, Arthropoda, Insecta, Lepidoptera, Nymphalidae.